GAUGAACGCUAGCGGGAGGCUUAACACAUGCAAGCCGAGGGGUAUAGUUCUUUCGGGAACUAGAGACCGGCGCACGGGUGCGUAACGCGUAUGCAACUUGCCCUACUGAAAAGGAUAGCCCUUCGAAAGGCGGAUUAAUACUUUAUAACAGAUUUAAUGGCAUCAUUAGGUUUUGAAAGAUUUAUCGCAGUAGGAUAGGCCUGCGUAAGAUUAGUUAGUUGGUGAGGUAACGGCUCACCAAGACGAUGAUCUUUAGGGGGCCUGAGAGGGUGAACCACCACAACGGUACCGAGACACGGACCACACUGCUACGGGAGGCAGCAGUGAGGAAUAUUGGGGGGUGGGUGGAAGCCUGAUCAAGCCAUCCCGCGUGUAGGAUGACGGGCUUAGGGGUUGUAAUCUACUUUUAACUGAGGAUAAUCCUACUUACGUGUAAGUAGCUGAAGGUACCAGAAGAAUAAGCACCGGCUAACUACGUG
Molecule: ribosomal RNA, 479 nt
Filed under: uncultured bacterium
Lineage: Bacteria
Description: partial 16S ribosomal RNA
Rfam family: Bacterial small subunit ribosomal RNA
Source: RNAcentral